Molecule: ribosomal RNA, 1230 nt
Filed under: Triticum aestivum (bread wheat)
Lineage: Eukaryota; Viridiplantae; Streptophyta; Magnoliopsida; Poales; Poaceae
Description: partial small subunit ribosomal RNA
Source: RNAcentral
AUGGGACCGGCGCCGCGGGAGGUGGUGGUGAUCAGCAGCUCCGACGAGGAGGAGGAGGUGGGCUCCGGGAGGUCUUCCCGCUCGCCCGCCCCCCUGGGAUGGGCCGCGAAGCUCGGGGACUCGGCGGUGCCAGCACCGCGGAGGCAUAAGGGCAGGUCCCGCGGCGUUCGCGCCGGCAACGACGGCGGCUGCGAGGGUGAUGACUGUGUGGUUCUGGAGGGCGACCCUGAUAAGCCAGUUGCGGUUGCGGGUGCGAAGGGGAGGAGUAGGGGGAAUGGCCUGCCGGGCGAGGUGGAGAUCGUUGCGGUGAAAGACCCUUACAAGAGCAUCUCCUUGCAUUUGUGCUACUGUUUUGUAUGUGAUGCUCCAGCUCCAUGCAAGUACUGGGGCAAAGGGCUCUUGAAUGAUGAUCAUUGCCAUGCCACUGACAAGGAAACAAAGUGGAAAGUACUGAGGCAAACAUUUAAGUGCAAAAGUGUGCCAGCAUCUUAUCCAGAGGAACGCCCGAGUGUUGUGUACCCAACAAGGCCAUCCCCCAGACAUCAGGAAUAUUACGAGGAGUACACACCAGAGGAGUACUUCGAGCCGGACGAGGAGGCCACGGUGUGCAUUGGGAAUCUACCGUAUGACAUUGACAAGAAGGACCUUGCCCUGCUCUUCAAGGAUGUCGGCAUUGUCAUGUUCUCGGAGAUCAUUUAUGACAGGGAAACAGGCGAGAGCCGUGGAUAUGGGUUUCUCACCAUGAGUACUGCUGAGGAGGCCAAGAAGGCUGUGGAGAUGUACAAUCGCCGUGAGAUGGACGGUAGGCCCCUGACUGUGUACAAGACAGCUGCUACCAGAGGUGCCCGGACAGAAGAAACACCGUCUCCCCAUCCCAGUCGACCAGUGUCUUCUUCAUUCAAGAUCUAUGUGGACAAUCUUCCCUGGAAAGUGAGCAACUCAAACCUGAAGCAGCUGUUCAGUGACUAUGGUGAAGUGGUCGGUGCCAAAGUUGUUUACCACCACGGAAGAGAUGCCGGGCGCCCCCCGUUUGGAUUCGUCACGUUGGCGACGCGGCAGGAAUCGGAGAACGCCAUUUGGCACCUCAACAAGCAGGUCAGUCGGUUUGGUGGGGACGCAAACUGCGAGUGCAAGUCGCAAGAGAGGAAGGGACACGGUGAGGGUUUUAGGUGCUGGGCUUUGCAGGUGACUUGCUCUGCUGUCACCGCUGGUGGUGCCACUGUCUCGUGA